AUUGAACGCUGGCGGAAUGCUUUACACAUGCAAGUCGAACGGCAGCACGGGGCAACCUGGUGGCGAGUGGCGAACGGGUGGGUAAUAUAUCGGAACGUGCCCAAUCGUGGGGGAUAACGUAGCGAAAGUUACGCUAAUACCGCAUACGAUCUACGGAUGAAAGCGGGGGAUCGCAAGACCUCGCGCGAAUGGAGCGGCCGAUAUCAGAUUAGGUAGUUGGUGGGGUAAAGGCUCACCAAGCCAACGAUCUGUAGCUGGUCUGAGAGGACGACCAGCCACACUGGAACUGAGACACGGUCCAGACUCCUACGGGAGGCAGCAGUGGGGAAUUUUGGACAAUGGGCGCAAGCCUGAUCCAGCCAUGCCGCGUGCGGGAAGAAGGCCUUCGGUUGUAA
RNAcentral lists this ribosomal RNA (395 nucleotides) under uncultured bacterium. Its description in RNAcentral is "bacterial SSU rRNA". It matches the Rfam family "Bacterial small subunit ribosomal RNA", at positions 30 to 428 of the family's 1533-position model. The record is from RNAcentral.